GACAGAGGUGCCGAGCGUUAGGCGGAAUCACUGGGCUUAAAGCGUGUGUAGGCGGAUGCCUAAGUACCUUGUGAAAUCCCACGGCUCACCCGUGGAACUGCUUGGUAUACUGGGUGUCUUGAGCCACUUAGGGGCUACCGGAACAAAUGGUGGAGCGGUGAAAUGCGUAGAUAUCAUUUGGAACGCCAAUGGUGAAAACAGGUAGCUGGGAGUGUGCUGACGCUGAGACACGAAAGCCAGGGGAGCAAACGGG
This 253-nucleotide ribosomal RNA is filed under the name uncultured bacterium. RNAcentral's name for it is "partial 16S ribosomal RNA". It matches the Rfam family "Bacterial small subunit ribosomal RNA", at positions 524 to 776 of the family's 1533-position model. The record is from RNAcentral.